AGGCAGGCACUAUUCAGACACCCAGGCAGGGGGUCAGCAAUGGGGACAUCUGCCAGCUGCAGAGACAGGACACCAGUCCAUAGGAAGAGCAAGAGAGAGACAAUGUUCCUUUAGUGUGAAAGUUACCAAAAAGGAGGUGGACACAGGAGGAGAAGAUGUGGGUGCAAGUCUCUGUUACAUAAACAUCUGGAGGGCUGAGUAUCAUUUUAGCCAUAGUAAAUAGCUAAUGGAAGAAUACAUCUUACAUUUCCCCACAAAGAGGCAAAAUUGUACGCAGGCUGCACCAGCAAAGGAACUGGAAAAUCUUUGUGUGGAGUGGAUUUGAAGGACAGUCACUCUUCGGAUUGGUGCAAGGGAUUAGAGCCUCAUGGUCAUCUGGAGUUUUCUCUGCGUGCAGUUAACUGAACCUUUGGUGCCCAGAACACACUUAAAAACUCAUGCUAUUUCGAACAUCACUGGAGUUGGAAGCAAGACCAGGCAAGGGGACCUACACAGAGGAUGAAGAAUAGGACCCAUCUUCAAGGGAGGUUCUUAAUGUAGGAGCAAUUUGAAGUGGAUUCAGUUUUAUAGAUAAUAAGCAUGAGAGUAAAGAUCACAGCAGACAUUUGGUUACUAAAGAGUCUUCAGUGGAACUUGAAAGUUUUAAUCCAUCAGAUGUUAAGAAUGAGAUUGGUAUGUAUUUUUAAAAGAGUGGGGUGGAGAUCCAAAAGGACAAAAGAGGUCUAAUCCAAGUCAUUAGGUAUUGGAAUCCUCUCCUAUAUAAAAGCCUUUUGUUUAUAAGAGAGCUGAGUGACUUGAAGACCUGUAGCUAAAUCAUCCUUUGGAUUCCACUGAAUUGAUGGGGUGAUAGUUGUGUCAAUCAGUUGAUGUCUGAAGAACACCAGCUACAUUCCAGGCUGUGGACACCAGGGCAGCUAUGACAGGUAAUGUCUAUUCAUGCUCCCAUGCAGCUUUCUGGCAUAUCAUUGACUCCUGCUGGAGUGUGUAUCCUGGGAGAUACAGGUCAGUAACCAUGUGGAAUUGCAUCAAGUUUGCAUGUGAGUGCAGGAUGAUGGUUUCCAAUAAGCGUCGUACUGCCUGUACUGAUGGUCAUUGAAAUGCUUCCAGUCUGAUUGGUAUAAAAAUGACUAGACUUGGCCAUACAUAAAGAACCUGGGAACAGGGCUCCUGUGGAAGUGGGUGGCCCUUGGCAACCCUCAGUAGACCAAGGUGGGGAUGGCAGCAGGGCAGCAAGGCCUGGGCAAUGCCUAUCCAUUGCCCUGGGGAAGACCUGCAUGGUGGGAACUGCAGGGCAAGCAGGGUGGUAAUCUUGUUGUCAGGAGGUGAAGCUCCAGGGUGUGUGCCAUGUCAGAUAUGCAGGCUAAGGUACGAUGCUCCUUCCAGCUGCAAAAAAUGACCCAGAACUGGGGACCUAAUGACUACCAAUUUAAUAAGAAAGAGCUUGAUGAGUUUUCCUGUGUUAUAUCAUGCAGACAAAGGUUGUCUAUGUAUGGACCUUGUCUGUCAUUCUCGCUGUAGAAUUCCUAGCACCUACCACAAUACCUGAGCUGGAGCAGGUGCUCAGUAGUAUUCAGCUAGUGACAGUAAGUUAAACCAAAUGUCACACUAACAAGUCUAAACUCAGAAAAAAAAAAUAUAUAUAUAUAUAUAUAUAUUAGAAUGACUUGAUUAGCUGUAAUUAUAUUACUUGAUAAGAAAUUUUAUUAUAAGAUAUAUGAGUAUAACAAAUUAUGGGAUAUAGAAGAUAAAUAUAUACAUAAAUCUAGCUUAUUUAUAAAUUUUAAAGAUUUAUAUGUUGAUUUGUGUAUUAAUUUAUAUUACUUAGCAAUUCUCAAAAUUGUUAAAUUUUCUGAAUGUUAUCAUCUGUCUAUAUAUGGAUUUUUCAGGAAACACAUAACCACGGCUUCUAGCAAAAUUUCAAGUGGUUCUACUAUUGGCAAAGCCCAGCACAAGGUACAGAUGGAAGCUGCCAUAACAUAUGUCUAGAUAUCUGAAACUUAUGCAUCAAACUUUUAAUAAGGGUUUAUCCUCCCACCUUGAAAAAUAUUCCUUUGUAAAAUGACCUAGAAGACCAGGUUUGUAAUCAGGACUCUUGGACUCCUCUGAGUUCCUAUCAGCAUGCAGAAAAGUUAGCCCCUAGUCCUCAGCAGAUGACCAUCUUUCCCACUUCUUGGAGGACUUGAACAGAGCCCAUAGUUAUCAUGAACCCACAUUUCUGGAUUUUCUGAGAUGGCUUAAAUUUUAAUUAUUUUGUCAUAUGAUCCUUUUUAAAAAUUCAUUCCCAGGUUAUCUUAUCUGGACCCAUGGGAUUUUAUUUUUAACUUUUUGUCUUGAAAUAAUUAUAAAGUCACAGGUAAUUGCAAAAAUAGACCCAUGUACCCCUUAACCUAUUUCCUCCAAUGGUGAUAUCUUGUACAGCUUUAAGGCAAUAUCAGUUCAUGGAUCCUACCCAACUACAUGUUGAUGACUCCUCAUUUUAUUUCCAGCUCAAACAGACUCCUCUGCCCUGAGCUCUAGAUGCAUCUAUUCCUAUCUGUUCUGCAUUUCCAUCUGGAUGUCAGUUAUUUCACAUUUCAUAUAUCCACAUAGAACCUUGAUCCCUGGCUUUCCUAAUUCAAACAAAUAUUCAUUUUAGUAAAUGGUCCUGCCAGCUACCAAAUUGCCAAGAUCAGCAAUGAUCUUGUAGUACAUUUGCUUACUUGUUCAUUGUUGGUUUAUCUCCAUGGGCACUUGACAGAGACCUCAUCUGUCUUCUCCACUAUAGAAUUCCCAGCAUCUCCUAUAAUACCUGGGCUGGAGCACAUGCUCAGUAAUAUUUGUUAAAUGAAUUAUUAUUCAGGGGUGCCUGUGUGGUCUAGUUUGUUGAGCCGACUCUUGGUUUUAGCUCAGGUCAUGAUCUCAAGGUCUUGAGAUUGAGGCCUGUUUCAGGCUCCCAGCUCAGUGGGGAGACUCUGAGUUUUUUUCUCUCCCUGUGUUUCUCCAUGCUGCCCCCACCUUCAUUCAUGGGCUCUCUUCUCUUUCUGUCUCUUUCUCUCUAAAAUAAAUAAAUAAAUCUUUUUAAAAAAGAAAUAUUAUUCACUUAACAAAUAUUUGUUAAAUAAAUAGAUGAUUUUGGCAGAGAUAAUAUGGCAAUGUUAUGGUCUCAGAUGACACCAAGUCUCAGGAUUUGGUUUUCUGAGUCAUGGUUUACAUGCUUAUGGGAUAGGUGGCUGUAAAGGGAUAAUGUGUAUCUUACAAAGUGAUUGAGAAAAAAUAUAUUGGCCUGGUUAGGAAAACUUCAACCUGAGAAUUUAAUGAAAAGCAAAGAUAAAAUGAAAACCCAGUAACCUCCCUCCUCCACUUCCCUCCCUCCAUCCCUCCCUCCCCUCCCUCCCUUUCUCCCUCUUCUCUGUUGAUUGCCCAGAGUCCAUUUUCAAGUAGUCUUUUGAAGAGAGUACACUGGACUUGUUCUUAUUUUUGCAUGUUUGACUGACAGUAUCUUUCUUUGACUUCACAUACAAAAGAAAAUGAAACUGAACAUACCUUGUUUGUUCAGCAUAUCGUAGAUACCAUUCAUUGUCUUCUGGCAUUUAGUAUGGUAGUGAAGUGAGGUCAGCUGAUAUGCUUUCCUCUUUUGAUCCCUGUCUGGAUGUUUGAAAAAUAUAGCAAAAUGGUUAAUGUUCAUGGGUUCUGGAAAUAGGCAGUUUGGACUCCAGUUUCUAUUUAUGACCUCAGACAAAUUACUUCAUUGCUAUGAGCUUUACUUAUCUCAUCUGAAAAUGUGGAGUACAGCACCCAUUUCAUGCAGUCACCAUGAGAAUCAAAUGAAAUACAAAUGUUUUAGACUAGUGCCUGGCAUAUAGCAUAUGCUCAAGAAUACAAUGCUUUACUUGUCCUUGUAAUUGAAAACAUUUGCCAGGAGGAGGCCAGAUAUUUAUUACUAUUGUUAAUUUUUGCCUGACAUACAACCUGACUACUCAGGUUUUGGUCUUGUUUAUCUUUACCUUUGUUUCUCAGGAUAUAGAAUUCUCUGCUUCAAGCAGCGAUCCUGCAUCAGUUCUGUGUUGUUCAAGGGGUUGCUUCUAGGUCUCUCAGAAGCUGAAGUCCCAGUUGCUGUUGCCUUCUACAGGACAGCAGCCCAGCAAGCUGGAGGCCCCAGUAUUAUAUGUACUGUUUUGUGUUUUUGUUAUAUUUCUUGUUUGCAAAGAUGAAGAAUCACUGCUUGUCUCUUCAUAUCUCAUGCAUCACUGCCCUGUGUUUGGAAAAGCAGGGUUUUUUGAAGUUGGAACUCAGUGCUCAUCUUGACCAGAAAACUCACUUGCGCUAUCAACUUUAUUUUGCCUCCAUCACCUGUUCUUAGCCAGUUCCUUGGUUACUCUGGGCUCCUCCUCCAGGAAUUGUGCAGGCUUUAUUCUCCAUCUUGAAUGCUCUUACCCACCGCACUCCCAGCAUAGUGCUUCUCUCCAGCCCUUCCACAUUGGCUCAUGCCAAUGGCUCUUCUUCAGAGAGUGGCUAUCAGGUAACUGAAGCCACUUUGUUCCCAGAGAACCAGAGUGCCAAGGAGUUCACAGGCCACAGGCAGUAGCCAACAGAUGUGUAUGACAGCUCAGUCCCUUUUCAUGAGUGACACAAACUCUCGGCCAGACCUUACAUCCCAGAGUCCCCUGUAGGAUCAGUCCAAAAGCACCCUCUUCAAGACUUUGUCCUAGAUAGCCUGCUGUGGGGCUCCCCAUUGCCUUUUUGUCCUGCUUCUCAUAUCUUGCUGAUUUUUCCUGGGACCACCCUAAUAAAUCUUUUCACAGUCAGUAAUUAGAUAUUCAAGUAUUUGUUUGCUAGUUUCUGUCAUUUUUCCCCAAAACUUUAAGUCCCAGGACAGGAAUCCAUAUUUGAACAACGAAUGUGGGACGUGACAUUCAGUGACUGCAUAUUCAAUAAAUUAACAAAGAAAGCCACAAAGAGACUGAGCAAAGUCAUAAAUGCAUGAAUGUAAUUGGCCUAUACCCAAGUUUGGGAGUCCAGUCCUCUCUUCCCAAAGCCUCGAACGCACAGAAGCCUUGUUUGAAGAUAUAAAUACCCUUCUAUAACAAGGUGACAUCACACAUACUCAAGCUUUCCUCUCUUCAUUUAUUAUAAGGCUAGCUGAACACUUCAAUGCAUUUAAUUCACCAUUACUUACUUGUUCUUUAUUACCUCCAUAUGCAUCAUGUGAGUUUGUGCAUGUAUAUUUAUACAAACUCUUAUUAUUCAGGUUCAUAAAAUAUCCUUUAUAAGAGGAACUAUAUGUGACUGACCCAGAUGCACAAGAGGAUAUGUUUCAUUUCUCAAGAAGAACCUUCUGUGCACCCUGCCGCCUCCCUGCUCCAUGAAUUUACCCAUGGGACCUAAUGGUUCUAAAAAUUGAAGCAGCUGCAUGGGCCAUAAUUUACUGACCUACUGUGUGCAUGACAAAUGGGUCUUAACUAUAACCAGCUGGGGCUAUUUUUUGUCAAAACCAGAUUUUGAAUCCUGCACUUGAAAGCUUCUAAGUUAUUUUUCUGGUACUCAUGAUUGUGUGUGUCUGUGUCUUUAUACCUGUCUGUCUGUCUGGGUACGGAAAGAGGGAUAGAGACGUACCUGGAGAGGAACUCAGGUAAGUGGAUUCUUAUUAAUCACAGGCAAACAUAUUUUCUCAUUUAGCAAAGUCAGGCUGGCAUAUCCAACACUUGUCUGAAAAAGAAAAAGUUGCCAUUUAUAUUAAACUCCAAUUGCAAGGUCAAAAGCAUCCUGAACCUACAAAAGGUUAUAUUUACAAGAAAAAAAGCCAUUUAAAGCUGGGCUAGGAGGAAUGUGUUAUCUCUGUUGUGUAGCUACAAUUAGCAUAUACUUUAUACCAUUUAAAAAUAAAUAUUAAGUGGUUUCAAUUAAAUCGUUAUUAAUCUGAAAAGAUCAACAUUUGAGGAAAGUGACAGUGCUCUCUCCACAACCUUUCUGAAGUCUAUAAACAACAAGCUAUAAAGAGUGGUUGCUAACUUUGGUGGGGGGUUAUGGCUCCUUGGAAAUCUAAUGAAAGCUAUGAACACUCUCCCCAGAAAAAAAAAAAAAAAGACCCAUAAUUUUGCAAACAAUUCCCAGGGGUUUGCUGACCAUCUGAAAGCCAUGCAUGAGUCUCACAUUAAAAAUGCCUUCUCUAAAGGAAACAUAAGAUGUAACCAUAAUUUAAAGGAAGUCAUGAUCUUGUUAAAGAACCUAAGAAAUUGCUUAUUCAUACUCUCACUUUCCAGAUAUGGGGAGAGAUCUGAAGACGGUAUGAAAGUCACACAACAAAUUGGUGGCAGAGUUAGGAAUUUGGAUGCUAUUUUAAGUUGGCUUCCUUAGAAGCAGACCCUGGAACAAUGAUUGGCGGGAAAGUGAUUUAUUAAGGAAGUGCUCCCCGGGGAUACCAGCAAGGGCAUAGAAAAGGAGCAGGUCAGGCAGGGGUGCCUCUCACGCAAACACCUGCCAGGGAUAGGGUCCCAUGGGGAGCUCUGGAGUAAAAGUUGUGCCAAAGGAAUGGAUCAGCUUUCAUACCUGUACACCCUCUUUACAGGUUAAAAAGUAGGAGGAAUUGGACUUCCAGUAACAGUCCUCCAAAAAAAAAAAAAAAAAAAAAAA
Canis lupus familiaris (dog) is the source of this 6609-nucleotide long non-coding RNA. RefSeq lists it as uncharacterized. Lineage: Eukaryota; Metazoa; Chordata; Mammalia; Carnivora; Canidae. The record is from RefSeq and is a predicted model, not a curated record. The transcript has 6 exons.